RNAcentral lists this ribosomal RNA (484 nucleotides) under uncultured bacterium. RNAcentral describes it as "partial 16S ribosomal RNA". It matches the Rfam family "Bacterial small subunit ribosomal RNA", at positions 28 to 507 of the family's 1533-position model. The record is from RNAcentral.
AUUGAACGCUGGCGGCAUGCUUUACACAUGCAAGUCGAACGGCAGCGCGGGCUUCGGCCUGGCGGCGAGUGGCGAACGGGUGAGUAAUGCAUCGGAACGUGCCCAGUAGUGGGGGAUAGCCCGGCGAAAGCCGGAUUAAUACCGCAUACGACCUGAGGGUGAAAGCGGGGGACCGAAAGGCCUCGCGCUAUUGGAGCGGCCGAUGUCGGAUUAGCUAGUUGGUGGGGUAAAGGCUUACCAAGGCGACGAUCCGUAGCUGGUCUGAGAGGACGACCAGCCACACUGGGACUGAGACACGGCCCAGACUCCUACGGGAGGCAGCAGUGGGGAAUUUUGGACAAUGGGGGCAACCCUGAUCCAGCCAUGCCGCGUGCGGGAAGAAGGCCUUCGGGUUGUAAAGCGCUUUUGUUCGGGAAGAAAUCCUCUGGGCUAAUACCCCGGGGGGAUGACGGUACCGGAAGAAUAAGCACCGGCUAACUACGUG